Lucilia cuprina (Australian sheep blowfly) is the source of this 363-nucleotide long non-coding RNA. RefSeq lists it as uncharacterized. The transcript has 2 exons. Lineage: Eukaryota; Metazoa; Arthropoda; Insecta; Diptera; Calliphoridae. The record is from RefSeq and is a predicted model, not a curated record.
AUUCUAUCUAAUUUUAGCGAUAAGGACACGUGUACCAUCGCCGUAGUAUGGUUCAUGAGCUGCUAUAUGGCGCACGAUCAGGGAGAAGAACCACCAAACUCCACCACACGAAAGGCGAUGUCUCGUGCCAAUAAAAGCAACAUCCCUCUAGUAAUUUGUGCAGAUGCCAGUGCUCACCACUCUAUUUGUGGAAGCUCAGAUACAAACCAAAGGGACAACUUAUUUCCACAAAUUAAUAGGAGCAUCAGAGGACUUAAGAUUCUGCGGGAUAUGUAAAAUGGUGAAAAGACUGGUAAUUUAUGUAUAUGAUUACUAUAUUAAUAAAAUUAAAAAUAUAUACCUAUAUAUUAAAAUAUCAAUAAA